AAGCGCGAGGCUAGGCAUUCCUAAAGCUUCCUUCGAACGGUGUAGGCUGUGUUUUUCUUGCGAUUCGAAGAGACUCCCGUCCUCCACAGCAAGAAUCACGAGUUAGAUACAGUCUCACCGUUUGAGAUGGCAUUGGGAUGGGCGAAGGGUGCAGCAGUUUCUGGUGGCCUCGGGGAUACCUUGGGAACCAAGACCUCGUGCUCACGAGCCUGUAUGCCUAUCGUCGGUGUGGUUUGUAGACUGUAUCGAAACCAAAGUUAUCCUUUUCAAAUAAUUCCAUUAAGUACCUUAGAAGCAGAGAUUGAGACUAUCGGAUUAAAUGUCGAGCUUGACGUCAUUGGAAAUAUCCAAGAUUAAUUCGGACUUCAUUUGGUUUAUUUACGAUAGAAUACUUGUACCUGAAUUUAUUUACUAUUUAAGUAAAUACACUUUAAACUGUUGAAAUUUAAUUUGCUCAAUGCCGGUUUGGGCUAACAAUGGGUAACGUGUUACAUUUAUAUUUCAGUCACGUAUACUGUACUAUUUACAAUUAUUUAUGCAAUUCGUAUUGAAUUUUUGUACCUAUCAGAGAUCACUUUAUAGACGGAGAAGAAGAAAAGCUAAGAGGAAAGAAUAAAGAAUUAUUUUUAUAGAAAAUAAUCUACCCCGAUACUUGAAAUUUAAUUCGUUAACUGUUAAUACGGCAAGAUUACGAUUUCCGUGGCGCCAAGGUUGACGGUUGACUAUUGUUGUAUACGAUGUGAACGAACAUCAUCUCAAAGGAAAAGUUGAUAUCUCAAUUGGUUUGGAAGAUAUUUUUUUUUUUUCAUUUUGGAUGUAGUUGCGAGUGAUCGACAACCAUUUUUUUUUUGUAAGGAAUUUUCUAUAAAAUUGCUUAUAUGUAUUUUUUUUUGUAUCUGUCAUAGUUUGAGAUAUUGCGAGUCGAAUUUCGAAGGAACGUGUAUCUCGCACAGUGUUCAAGAUAUAAACAAAAAAUGAAAAUAGUUAAUAUCUCCCAAACUAAUUGAGAUAUCAACUUUUCCUCUUAGAUGUUUGCUCAUAUCAUACGCAACCAUAACCAACUGUCAAACCUUGGCGCCGCGGAAACCGUAGUAUCCCCAUUAAUACCAUAAAUCCUUUUCAGUCGAACGUUCGUCCUAGAAUCCUAUCGUGAGCCGGAGACCCCAAUGCGAUAGAUGCGCGAGCCAUCUACUGCGAGGAGUGGCGUCAUUGGCCCGUUUCAUGCGCUGUAAGGUUGAAAAUAUUUCAUAUUCGGGGGCAAGGAGAGAAGGUCUGUUUCUAGAAGGCCAUAAGAGGUGCAACCCUGGCUAUGGCGUACGUUGGUCGCACAGGCAUCGAUCACUUCGCACACCUUUGCACCUCCUUUCCGCAAACGGGCCCGCUCGUCGUUAAGUCACCUUCCGCAAAGAAAGCCAUGACACUGCUCGAAGAAGUAUUCAGGCGGUGAGCUGAUCGUUUUACUUGACCUCGCAGAAAAAGUGUGCUUCCUCAGGUCCGGAAGAAUCCACGGGCCAAGCGGUAUUUUCAAGGCCUCGCCCUCGAAGUUAACGGGAGCCCGUCUCUGUCCCUGGGUUCAUCCCAAAAUGACAACGCUCACCCAACACCGAAGCAGAUUUUGAAACAUUGGUUACGGAGCCACCCAAAGAUCGUUCUCAUCCCCCGAUUGCUCUAGGAAAUAGAAUUCUCCAGGUAUGGAGGUAUUGCAUGUCUCGCAAGAAAAAUGAUCAAAACGAGUAGCGUGUUCCGAGCUUGAUGUACCGAACGCAUCCGAACGGUGAUACGAUGGUGCAUUUACAAGCACGACCUGGGAGUCAUUUUUCAAUGGAAAGAGGAAAACGACUACAUGCGAAUACAUUAGACGUACGCUCGCUGCCUUCGGGCUCGGAAUAACCGUGUUUUCACAGAUGCAUUCGAGAGAGAAAGAGAGAGGUGUUGCGUUUAACUGCACAAGGGGGAGAAUGUCGAGGUGUCCACAUGACCCUUCUCACGGUCGCGGCAAUUAGACAGAUACGCGCGAGCAUUUCUUUUAGGUAGAAGAAAGCUGUUUGCCGGGACACCGAAGAGAGGUACGAUUUACGUUAAAGGAAACGCUUCCUGAAGAUUAUUAGCGUUAAUGUAUCAUGUACGAGGGGCUGGGGGGAAGUUGAAAAAUUCUUUUCGCUUCAGCGUAGCGCAGAACCGGUGCCCAUGGACCCUUGGCUUCUCCGAUCGUAACGAAGUUAACUGGCCACGUGGCGAGGUGUCCUGGUAUUAACGAAUCUUUAUCGGGGAUGGGCGGGGCGUAUGCAAUAAUUUUUUGAGCUCCAGGUAGAGCUACGGGCAGCCCCAUUAACUAAAAGGACGGGCUGCGAAGACCCUACCGACGAGCUGUACGUCUUCGUUGACCCAUUUCUCGUACCUAAUCUAGAAUCGUGUAUCAGGUAUCGAACUCCGAGAACUUCAGAGUCCUAGACCGGAUGAAUGGUGUUUGCGGGUUGUUCUGUUUUGCAUCGCAGGAGAUCCAGACCGACCCGUGCAACGUGUUAGUGCCCAUACGCCGGAGAGAAAGGUCGUGGUGGGAAGGCGAUACCUAUUUUGCGAGAGCCAGGUACUCCGUUACGGGGAGGGGGGCACGCAAUGGAUAUUGUUGUUUGAGCUUCAGGAACGUUUUGGCGUAACCGUGGAAUGACGAGGGAAUAACGAGAACGACGUUCCAAGCAGUAAGCUAACCGUAGACAGGAACAGGAGGAAUAGGAAGACUCGUUGAGGUACACACUCGAUCCAAAAGUCCAAAGCAGACGGUUACGUAGACCCCGGGAUACAUAGAAUGGAGGCGCACGUAUCCUUGCUGGUGCUUGUACGUACACGGGGAGGGGGGCACGCAAUGGACGGUUAUUUGAGCUUCAGGAAUGUUGAGACUUUGUGGAUAACGAGAGAUCGAAGACCCAGGAUACGAGUUCAGAAGUUGACGUAGACAUUGUAUCGGCGAGUGUUACUCGAGGGUCCGGACUAAUUGUUAUCGUACCCUGGAAGACGUGAGACGGAACUACGGUAUCCAAUUUCUACAAUUUCUACCAUUUCUACGUUGCCGGUGCUAAUUUUGCAACGGCUCGUGGCAUGCAAUGGACAUUGUUGUUUGAGCUUCAGGAAUGUUUUGACGUGUUUAAUGGAAUGCUAGAGUGCAGCUACAUAAAUUACAAGUUCGAUCGGUUGGGAAAGCAAAUACGUGACAGUCCAAUAGCUGACCCCAGCUUGUCGAAGGAUCAUUCAUCAUCGGUCGAGGUAAAAACGUUCAUGGCAUUUUCCGUCUUUUCGUAUCCGUGGAGAGAUAGUAUCUACGAUGUGGGGGGCCUCCGGGGAAGACAGCUCUCUUGCUUUGAGUCACAGGAAUCCGAGUCAAUGAUUACGACCGAGAGCGGGAAUAUCGUCCUCCUUGAAUGCGCAAGAAAAAUGCAAUAUGUUGACCCGAGGUAACGGAAGACCCCACCGACAGACCGGAGCGAAUUCUAAUUUCAUCCAAUACUUGUCAACAAUGUCAUCAUGGCAGAUUGGGACAACGAUUUUCUUUUGUACCGCAGACUGUACUGGAACGUGAUACAUAGCUGUUAGCAUGCACGAACGGAUCAAUUAGCCGAUCGAGAAUGAACGAGGUACGGUUCUUUGUGUCAAUUUUUUCCUUGUAUUUCUACCGUGUAGAUUUAGGGUAUAGCACGAAACACAGGAUUUCAUUCUCACGCGGAGGAACCGGAGAGUAUCCCGUUUAAUAGAAAUUCGAGGUAUUGCGAUUACUUUUUGGCAAAUUGGUCGGCAAUCCAUGGGGAGGGUCGUUGAAUUUUAAGCCGCAGGAAGAAAAAUUAACGAACCGCUGAAGCAGAACGUCAAUGAAAAGGAAGUAGAGUGAAAUUGUAUAGGAAGAGCGAAUCGAUGUAAUUUCCCUUGAAACUUAUUCCAUGUAAAGGAGAAAAAGCGGCGAUCACUUCGGGUUCGAAGUCUUCAGGUAACAGUGGAAUCACACAUUUCCGUAUUCUGAUGAUUGGUAUGAUGAACCAUUUUUUUUCAGUUUUGUCUUUAUUUCAAAGUAGGGAGGAGAGUGAGAGAAAAGUAAUUAUUUUAGACAGCAAGCAAAUUUGUGAAUUUUUUUAAGAUCUCGAAGAAAGCAUCUUGACUGCUUACGGGAAUUUAAUUUUAUCGCAAAGGUGAAUGAAUUCUAUUCGUAUUUUGUUGUUAGUUACAAUCUCUAAUGUCACCGAUAAGAGGGAGUUGUGUAAUUAUUGUUUGCGAUACAAAUGAGAAGUUCCUUCGUGAGACUGUGGAUAGUUAAAAAUUUGGGUACAAGUAUACUUAAGAACGAUAAGUCGUAACAAUGGCAUCAUACGAAGAUUUGCAAUGAGAGCGCAAGAAAAGAUUACUUUCCGCUACAAGAAAAGGAUAUUCACUAGUAGAGAAGAUUAUUGUCGAGUACUACGAGUUCUCGCGAUGGAAGUACUAUACGUCGUACAAGAAACUUCAUUAUAAAAACACCUGGGAAACGAAUAGUCUACCGAAGAUUUAUAUAUCCGAAGAUCUGCAAGUAACAAAUUUUACUCUCCACGUCGUAGUGCCAGAUUGAGCUUCACGUAAGAUUCGUUUUAACUCCUUGCGCAAGUUGAGCUCCAAGAAUAGUUGGUCGAUAUGGCUGGGACUUUGAUAACAGGGAAUCGAGCUAGCCGCUUAGAAGAAUGAGCCGCAACCCUCCAUUAUUAUAUGAGAAAAAAGAGAGAGAGAGGACUGCUUUUGUGCACUAUUAUGGAAUGAGUUCUAUUUAUAUUCGUAUAUCGGUGCUUAGUGUGUGGACCAUUGCGCUAUAAUUUGUGCAGUUUCAGUUUUGGUUUCAAAUUACGUAUAGUGUGAUGACAUUGUGCACCAAGAGAGUAUCAAGACACGUAGUUCGCGCUGUGAGUUUUUAUGCAAAAACGAACGUUUCCCUAGCCAAUUGUGAAUGUACGGAAUGUUACGAGCAAGAGGGAAUGAGUAUCCGCAAGAUUGCUGUAUAUUCGUGGCGCGCUACGUGGUGAGUUCACUUAAAAAAAGAAAAAUCAUAACUGUGAGGCGAAUCGAUAACUCGUCUCACGAUUCACGUUUGGGCCAAGAAGCAAUAUCUGUCGAGCAAAUUUGGCAAAGCUUGUAACAUUUUAUAAGAUUGGACUUUUUGUGCCGAGCGAUGACAGGACACCAUUUUUAUAUUCGUGGGAUUAUUAAUAAAUGCACGUUGGGGCGGGGGUGUGGGGGGGCACUAAUUUUCUUUCCGUAGUUUGAAGGUAUAUUCCAAGCAUGCCGAGACAUAGAUCGUUUGAGACGAAAGAAAGCCCACCUUGUCGAGCUAGUCCGCAAGUCUUUGGAAUUACGGCUUCUUCUGGAACACGUCUUGAAAAUGAUUUUACUCGACACCAAUGAUUUCUCAAGCACCGAUCAAGUUCAUUGGCAUGCUGGACUCUCUCCGAUCGCAAGGUCGAGGUGUGCUACUCGAAAGUUUACGGUGCAGCUUUCUGUGAGCCUGCUUUACGCUAACUCCUCUCGACUCGGAAUGCAUUCUCAGCCUAGGUGUUUCCAACAAGAAGUUACUUUUCUUCUUCUACUUCUUCUUCUUGUUCUUUUUCUUCUUCUCGAGAAAAUUAAUGCGGUAACGUGCGCGAUCGCUAGGACAUGUUCUCAAGAUUCGACGGUACUUGAAAACCAAGCUGUGGAGACGAAGCUUCGCAACCCGAGUUGCACAUCGAAGAAAACCUGGCACGGUUUAAGCGAGCCGUGAUCCUCUGUAGGACCGGAAAGGAAAUUUAUUAUUGCAGAUGCAGUUGCUUUAGAAUAGGAAAGCUAUUUUUUGUCGCCACUAGUACGCUAUUCGAAGAUUGAGCGAAAAGUAGUCUCGCCGGUACAAGCAUCUUGAAACUCGUAAAUAUUUGGAAGCGAUGCAAAAAUACGAAGACGAAGAGCACGAGGUUCUUUUCCAGUAGCGAAGUAAUCUGCCUGGUCGAUUAAUUGCGACGUCAAGUUUGUGGUCGAGAAAGUAACGAAUGACAAAGACCCCCCCUGGGAAAUCGGCAACAGCGAUAGAAUGUGAGUGGCAACGCCUUUUGUUCCCUUUCCUUUGCUGUAAGAUUGUUUUUAGAAUACGCUUUCCUGCGCACGAGAGCCGUUAGACUUUAGGGAAAACCUAUAAAGAAGAGGUCAAAGAGGAAAGCACGCAUCCGCGAAGGUUCCCGUUGCCGACGUGACUCGUUCCAUGCCAAUCCGCGGAGUCUGCAUGCGCUCAAUGUUCAUUGGAUUCCUGGUCGGAUCUCGUCUUGGAGUAUUGCUGCGACUCUUUUGGAUAUUCGUGCGAGGUCAACAUCCAAGGAAGGCUUCAUUUGGCAUCAACCCUUGGAAAGAUGCUCUUUGGAGUCCAGCUUUUCGUGCAGCCGAUCUUCAGGAUCCUGGGGAGAGUGGACUUCAGAGACGCAGCCAGGGAUUGACCUAGGAAGAUCUUCUGAAGAUGGUCUCUUAUCCGGGGUUCUUCUGGGUCGGACGAGAAAUCCAUUGGCGCGGUUGCGAGGGUAUUCGUCGAUGGAGUUGGCGGUCUUCCGAAGAGUCUUCUACUUCUCAAAUUCUAUGUCAAAGACGCGAGAUUCACUGGGGGGAUAGCUUUCAUUUUGGAGGACGUUCCUACGAAACUAGUUCGCCAUUCCGAAGCUUGAUACGAGCGCUCUUUUUAGAUCAAAAAGGAAUCUGCAUCGAAGAUCCGCGACAUUCAGUUCAGAAGAUUAAGGGGAGAUUUAAAAAAAUUCAUGUUUGAAUUUCAUAACAAAUUGUAGGUAUUGGAAGAUAAGCCAAGACUGACGCUGACACAGGUUCCAUAUGACAUUUUGAGAUUGAAAGCUUACAUUCGUACCCAGUUUAAAAAAAGGAAAAUGAUACAUUAAAAAAAAAGGCUAUUGAUACAGUUAAAAAAAAAGAAAUGAGUAAAAAUUAAAAAAGGAAAAAAUUUACUUAAAAAGGGGAAAAAAAAUAUUUAAACAGUCUACGAAUGAAGCUAGAAGAAUAGGGUUUAAGAUGCGACAGAUGAAAAUAACUUCUUAUUGCCGAAGAACGAAGGUGAAUCUUCACAAAUUGCAAAGAAAAAUUUGUAUACAAACUCGAUAACGAAUUAUUUACUGAAUACGCGAACGGAGAAAAGAAAAAACUGAGAAUUAAUCUUGAUGGACGGCGGCGAGGGAUCGACCUUGAAUAACAUUAAGAAGACCCAAGUGACGGCGGCGAGGGACCAUUCCUGGUGGACGGCGGCGAGGGACCAUUCCUGAUGGACGGCAGCGUGGGACCAUUCCCGGUGGACGGCGGCGUGGGACCAUUCCCGGUGGACGGCGGCGUGGGACCAUUCCUGAUGGACGGCGGCGAGGGACCUACCAUUGACUCGGAUGAUGGUGUCGUCAACCUGGUGACACGGCGGGGACGUCCGAUACGGACAAACUCCGUGACAACGGUGAACAGGACCGGUGGCAUCGAUAUCUUUCCACGGUACGUGGUACCGACGGAAUCAACUAUACCAAUGUUCCGGUUUAGAGGAUUUGGACGUCAAGUUUAUCACUUUAAAGGACGACAUCGUGACACUUUCUCGAGCUUCGUACUACUGAACUUGAGCGGACCACUCUGGAAGAUCGAGAGUAGAGAAUUAUAUCUACGGAUGCAUCGAAAGCAUUCUACGUAGAAGCAAAGAUCUAUCGUGAUGACGUAAACCAUUUUUGGAGCAACUUUAUCUUUUCGAUGCAAGUUUGGACAUCCCCGAGCACUAAACGAUGGUGCACGUUGGAAACAACGGCAUUUAUGUGAAUUGACAACAGCAGCCUAAAAAAUGGUACUAGGGCAGUCGGUGCGCGAUCUCUGCUAAUAUGCAAUGAGUUCGAUUAACGUUAUACCAUUCGGGGGACUCCAAAGUGAUACUUGUUUGGACGACACCAUCCAGAGAUGAUCACGAUGCAACGUAAACUAGAACUAAUGCACUUAAUUUCUUGGAUGGAAUUCAAAAAAUGAUGGAAACAUCUACGAUAUCGAACUUGCAUUGACGGCGGCGUGGGACUUCAUGGGAUUUGGAAAGAUUUCUUCGGACUGCGGCGUGGGACUUCGUGGGAUUUCGAAAAGUUUCGGGACUACAUCGUGGGACAUCGUGGGCUACAUCGCGGGACUUCGCGGGACUUCGCGGGACUUCGCGGGACUUUACGGGACUUUACGGGACUUCGCGGGACUUCGGGGAAGGCAGCUAAUGUACUUCAUUGAGGAGCAUCAUUUAAAUUAGUCUAGUCAAAUUCAACAAGCAAUACUUUACGACCUUAGAACUUAAAAGUAUUGAGAUUAGAACGGACUGAAAUUAUUUCAGGGUAUAUAAGAAACCUAAGAAAAAAUGCAGUUAUUGAUAUAACCCAUAUAUUAUUUAAGUUAUGCAAUUAAGAUAUUUCUGUUGUAACGAAUGUGGAUAAAAUCGUUUUUAUAUAUUAUGGAAAAUGUUAUAUAAAAUGAUAUUAAGAAAAAUAUAGGUAUUGAAAUUGAA
RNAcentral lists this long non-coding RNA (8533 nucleotides) under Orussus abietinus. RNAcentral's name for it is "uncharacterized LOC105702370, transcript variant X2". Lineage: Eukaryota; Metazoa; Arthropoda; Insecta; Hymenoptera; Orussidae. The record is from RNAcentral.